AAUACCUUCUUUGCUCCAAGCUGCACUCUGGCUUUGCCUUUGAGUCAGGUGGCAUGUCUUUGCACGAUGACUGGUUCUAUUGAGUAGGCACUGCUUCAGCCCUACAGGAAGAACAAAACCUCUCUGGAACACAGCAGCAUUCCUGAUUCCCACUUGAGGAGGCCUAACAAAACGGCAUAUGCCUCAACAGCAGCAGAUCAGUGUUAAAAAGUCUGGAGUCAAGGGGAAAAAGUAAAAUUGGACCAUUUCCAAAAUCUCACAAAAAGCAACAAACUGACGUUCUAAGUGCCCAACAUGAGCAAAUUAGAACCUUAAAUAAAGGUCACUCUUAAUGCCUAUCCCAGCAUAGAUGCAGCACCAAGUACAGUGUCAUUUUACUGGUUUACCUUUUUCAUUCUUGAAAGUAGGAGCUAUGAAAAAAAACACUAAAAUUUCUCUAAGAGAACCUUCUACUUUCUGUCUAACUUACAUAAUCAAAACACUGUAUUGAGGGUGAAAAUUGAAUAUUAUAAGAAAAUAAUCACGUGUUUUGCGAGAAGUUGCAAAUAUAAUGCUCCUCCACCCAAUACCUACCUUAAAAAGAAAAAAGGAAACAUACAAAAUUAUCUCGAGAAUUAUUCCUGCUUAAACAAUGUCUACGUGCCAUUACUAAGUAUGCACACAGUAAAGAUGAGAAGAGGACAUGCAAGCGUGAACAUACUUGUUAGGGAUAUAGGACUAUGGGUAAUUUAAACAUUUUAAUGGUAUUACUCUCAUGUAAUUGCUCUGAAAUUCUAGUCAGUUGUUUGAAAUGGCUCUUAGAACAGAAUACUUUGACAUUUUUAUGAUGUCAAAAACUAAGAACUUAGCCCUAAAUAUUCCAAAGAAUAGGUGCAGAAGAACCCGUUUCCUUAAACGGCAUUUGAGUAUUCUUCACAACUCAAACUUUCUCUCCCAUCCUGUGAUGGCCGAGAGUUUUUCCUCUGACGAUGGCACUGACCUUACCCUAUCCAAAAUAUGAACAUCUGCAUGGUUUCCUGGUUCAAAUUGCUUUUAUCCAUUCUGUCGUGAGAAUCAAAUGGUUCAGACCAUGCAGCACCUCUCUGGGACUUCUCAAGUCCUUUCUAGAUCUGAAGACUAUUCUCUGAACCAAAGACAACUUCUGGGGGUGUACCAAAUCUCCCAUUAGAAAAUUAUUAAGAUCAAGAUGUUUUAACCUUUUAACUCUUUCUCAAACAAAAUAAAUUCGUUUCUCCUUUACCGUUAUUUUAAAUUUCAAAAUACACAGAUAGUAUGUCUAAAAUAAAAUCAAGAGAAUGACAGUUUUAGAACACAAACUGUGGUAAUUUUGAAAACACAAAAGCUGAGACCACUAAUUAGGUCUAUGUGGACACCAAGUCCACCACAACCUGUUCUGUCCUCCGGGGCUCUGCCCACGCCUUUCCCUUGCCUGAGAUUCCUUCUGCUUCCUACCCUUCCAAAUGCUGUAUUUCCCCCUGGAAGACUUGCCAAGACCACUCUAACAUGCACAUCUCCCAUUCCAGCUAACCAAAGGCAUCCUUGGGUUGACUAAACCAAAUUAUUUUGCAGACAAGGCAUCUAAACACUUCCACUGUAGACUAUUCACCUUAAUAAUUGAUAUUGUGACAUUAUUCAAUAAUAAAAUGAGGGAAAGAAGUCCUCUUCAAUCCCUUAUCCUGGAGAACCCAAGCAAGUGUCUUUCCCACUUGCUUUGCCCAAACCCUGGGACCUUUCUAAGUAAAAGUUUAAUGGAAGGGAAAGAAAAUCUAAAAGAAAAACUCUCCAAGAAAUUAAACUCGGGCAAAGAUUCAUGGGAUUAAAAAUUUUUAUUCUUUGUGUAUCUGAUUUCCGAAACACAGAAAUCUCUCUCCCACUCCUUAAACCUACCACUGGGCUAAGAGAGUAUUGUACAGAAUAUGCACUCACUGACUUAACAGAAUUAGAACAUCCAGGCACUCACUGAGAUUUUGCUUCCACAACCGCUCAAAGUCUAGUCAUUAGUUCAUGAGUUAACACCACACUUGACCUUCAAAUUUUGGAAAUGCUGACGGUAGACAGGGACUUGUUUUGGGAAAGGAAGUACACAGUAGACAUUGUUACCCAUGACCCAACCACCACCACCUUUCCUUUAAAGAACCCCACUCUUCCUUUAAGGUUGCAGAGUCUCAGAAAGUGGGAAGAAAGGAAGUUUUUGCAUUUUCAGGUCAAAACGAAGUACAUUUGUGCAACCACAUAAUGCCCAUGCAAAGGUUUCUUGAAAUCUAAACACAAGACAGAAGUAGUUCUAGCACCUCCACAAAAAGUAAGGUGUUUUUCACAGGGCCAGUGGAUUUCACAAUGUGAGUGCUGUCCAGCACCAAAGGG
This 2364-nucleotide long non-coding RNA is filed under the name Homo sapiens (human). RNAcentral describes it as "HSALNT0218197". Lineage: Eukaryota; Metazoa; Chordata; Mammalia; Primates; Hominidae. The record is from RNAcentral.